RNAcentral lists this ribosomal RNA (520 nucleotides) under uncultured microorganism. RNAcentral describes it as "bacterial SSU rRNA". It matches the Rfam family "Bacterial small subunit ribosomal RNA", at positions 9 to 512 of the family's 1533-position model. The record is from RNAcentral.
GAGUUUGAUCAUGGCUCAGGAUGAACGCUGGCGGCGUGCCUAAUACAUGCAAGUCGAGCGAACAGACGAGGAGCUUGCUCCUCUGACGUUAGCGGCGGACGGGUGAGUAACACGUGGAUAACCUACCUAUAAGACUGGGAUAACUUCGGGAAACCGGAGCUAAUACCGGAUAAUAUAUUGAACCGCAUGGUUCAAUAGUGAAAGACGGUUUUGCUGUCACUUAUAGAUGGAUCCGCGCCGCAUUAGCUAGUUGGUAAGGUAACGGCUUACCAAGGCAACGAUGCGUAGCCGACCUGAGAGGGUGAUCGGCCACACUGGAACUGAGACACGGUCCAGACUCCUACGGGAGGCAGCAGUAAGGAAUCUUCCGCAAUGGGCGAAAGCCUGACGGAGCAACGCCGCGUGAGUGAUGAAGGUCUUCGGAUCGUAAAACUCUGUUAUUAGGGAAGACAAAUGCGUAAGUAACUAUGCACGUCUUGACGGUACCUAAUCAGAAAGCCACGGCUAACUACGUGCCACG